UUUUUUUUUUCUUUCCUUUUUUUGUCUUUUUAGGCAAAAAAGUUCCUGGCUAAUGGAGUUCCCAGGCUAUGGGUCAAAUAGGAGCUGUAGCUGCUGGCCUACACCACAACCAAAGCAACACCAGAUACUAGCCACAUCCGUGACCUACACCACAGGUUACAGCAAUGCCAGACUCUUAAUCCACUGAACUGAGGAUAGGGAUUGAACCUGCAUCCUCUUGGAUUCUAGUCAGAUUCAUUUCUGCUGAACCAUGAUGGGAACUCCCCAUAUGGUGACCUUUUAAAUCAAUCCUACAAGAACAGUGCAAAAAACAGAAAAUACUGUAUGAACAUAGAUGAUAACUACAGUAUUUAAGAGCUAGAAACCUAAAUGGUCGAGGAAUAGAAAUAUGAGGUUAAAGAUAAAACACUUUGAUGGAAUGUUUUCAGACAUUAACAUCAUUGUGAAGACCAUGCAGGACAAUGAAUGCCUAUUACUAUGUUACGGAACAAAGAAAAUAAAAACUUCCCUAAGUCUAAAGACAGAAUAUAUAUACAGACAGGAAGAAGGCCAUUUAAAAAAUCUAAUGAUAGGGUGGGAUUAGAAGUGAAUGGUGAAGUCCACUUUGAUCUGUAAAGUUUGAAAAUAAUACAAAACAAAAUACAAUCUUUGUUUUCUGCCACAUCCCAGCUUUUAAGGCCUUUUAGAUGUUCCUAAAUCUAUAAAGGACUAGCACCCCAUACAAUUCUGAUAUGCAGCUAAUUCUAGAAACCUUGACCAACUGGCUUCACAGUUUUCCCAAUGUAAUUUUUAAUCAGUCAUCCUCUCCAAAUUGGUUUACUCACUGUCCCAAACAUAGCUUUUCUUACGUAACUGCAUCCUUGCUCACAAUCUCCAUUCACUUAGAAUGACUUCCCUUCUUCUAAUUUUACAUACUACAUACCACUAACCUUGAAAAGCCUUCAAUGAUGGCUCAACAAAUGAUGGCUUUUUGUUGGUACUACAACACAAUUUGUGUUUUUAAAAACAAUUAGAGCUAACUGUGUACUGAUCUUUUGACAAAUCAAUUUUUGUAGGGAGCCAUGAUUUAAAACUUUAAAAAGUUCAAUUAAUCUAAACUGACCAAACCUUUCGAAGUAACUAUAUUAACUUCCACAUAUUUAAUUACGGUCUUCCCUUUACUGAUAGUAAGCUCCUGGAGCACAGGUCCUUGCCAGGAAGGAAUGCUACAAAGUAACCUAGAUGACUUGAAUCCAAAUUCUAACAUAUGCUCUUGUUUGCAUCAUAUAUGAAAGAAACUCAGUGUCUAUGAAUGGUCAUAAAAUACGCACUGAUAUCUAGGGCACAAGACAAUGUAGAAAUAGCAAAGGGUGCUAAUAAGCAAAUCAUUUAACUUUCCAAAAAAAUUUAACAAAAUCAUUAGGAAAGCAGCUACAUUCAACAAAACAAUGUUCCACUUUUCAACAUACAGACAUUUACAGAAAUAACUUCACAGUGGAACAAAUCCUAUCAUUUUUCAAAAGCAAACAUAUAAUAGUAACAUGGCCAAUCUUGAUUACUAAUGAAUAGUUAAGUAAAACUGCAUACCAGAAAUAGAAUUUUCAACAGAUAGCUGAUCCAGGUCUUUUAAAAUCUGGAACACUUUCCUUCAUGUUUCCUCGAAAUAAGGCUUACUCUAGAAGACAAAGACUUUUCUUACUUUUGAGUUUUUUACAUAACCCACACACUCAUAACAGACUGUUUUGCUUCACUUCUUUUUUUUCUUUUUAGGGCUGCAUUUGCAGCAUAUAGAAGUUCCCAGUAACAUGUGUUAUUUGGAUCAGAUAAUAACAGUCUUAAGUUAGGUAGUGGAAUUAUAGGUGAUUACCCCCAGGGGAAGUUGAGCAGUUUUAUAUGUUUUAUAAUUUCUUUACCAAAAAAAAAAAAAAUCACUUCUCAACUCUUACUGAAAUAUCUUUUCUAUAUGCCAAAAUUUUAAAUAUGGAGGAAAAAAAUCAUGAAAAUGUUCACACUGUUUCUUGAUAAAAAUAUGAAGCACUUAAAAAAUCCAGAAAUGGGAAAGGCAUAAUUGAGUAAACAGACUCAUAAGUAUGUCCUAAUCUGGGGACUUCAUUCUAAAGUAUCACAUCAGGAAGCUAGUUAUACAGACUUAUUUGAACCUUUGACCAAACAAACACUUUUCAACUACCAUUUUUUCAUUUUGCUAUUUAUGGUUCUACUUACUGGUCCACAGAAAAACUUUUUCAGGCAGGCUCACCUCAGUAAUACUUUCGGGUAUUUGUCACUGAACUGUCCUGUUUUCUUCUGACCAACUGCCAAAAAAAAAAUCUCAAUAAAUUAUUAAAUCAUUCAAUCAUUUUCUAGUCUGGAGCCCCAUGAAUAAGAGGGUUCAAAUCAAGAAUAUUAUGAAGAUAAUUUUAUGCAGUUAUUUAGAUCAGUGUGACAAGGUCAUUCGAUAGAAAAACUAACAUGCAUUUAUUUUAACUAAGAAAUUACUUUUCUAGUAAUUCUAAGAAAAGGCACUAUUGUGAAUGAAAAAUUGACUCAAUUAAGAUAUUCUCCUAACGAGUAAAUGUAGUCAAUGUGGACUACCAUUGAUUUUUACAUAUUUAAUUAUUUCAUUCUUUAACUCAACUUGCUAAUUAAUACUUUAUUUCCACAAUUUCAAAUGUAAUUUUGUUCUAUUGAAAACAACACAAGAUCACAACAAGCUCAACGGCUGCCUUGAACAAAGUCCUACCGGGGAGGACCUUUCCUCUAAGGAGUGAUGAUAAGGGUUAGGUCAGGAGUUUUCAGUCCCUGUAUUUCCUCCCCCAAAGUAGCAUAAGGCUCCAGAAGGGUGGCACAGCUGCACGUCUAAAGUAGCAGGGCUGCUGCCAAGAGAAUUCCUCAGCGCCCCAAACCCAGUUUCCUUAUUGCCUCAUCGCGGGAGGAGCACGCGGAAACACCUCUCCCCAGGUAGGGAGGGUCUAAGAACCUUACCUUCCCCGUCUUCCUGAAAAAGGAGCCUAUAACUGGUGACACUCGAUCACAGAGUAUGACAAGCUGCCGAAACCCACUUCCAAAGAAGGGAAGUACUGCUCCCAGAGAAGAGGAGCCCAAAGGAUCGGCCAGGAAAAAAAGACCAGCUCGUCUCCUCCGCCUCUUUCUCUUUGGCAGCGGGAGAGGAAGCCUCGCCCCCUCUCAACCCGCCUCCCGGCUCCCCUCCCCGCCGCAGGGAGAACAUACCCGGCCAUGGCUGCCGCGCGGCCCCCUCACUUCCGGUGCCGGUGCCUCCAAUGCUGCGCCAUCCCCCAGCCCACCGGACAACCACAGCUUCGAACUGACCUUUCCGGCAGAUCGCGACUCUUCCAACGUUCACUAGGUUUUGUCCUGGAGAGAACGGUGGAUGGGUGCCGCAGAAAAACGAAUCUACAGACUAAAGAAUCCGCUCUCGUCUGGCCAGAAACAUAAAAAGCGAU
RNAcentral lists this long non-coding RNA (3440 nucleotides) under Sus scrofa (pig). RNAcentral describes it as "lncRNA (ENSSSCG00015074854.1)". The record is from RNAcentral. Lineage: Eukaryota; Metazoa; Chordata; Mammalia; Artiodactyla; Suidae.